GUUGGUGGUAAUUUUAGUUAUGCCACUAUGAAAGCGUCGAUUGUUAAGUAGACAUAAAAAGUUUGAAGUAUGCACAAAGCCUGAAAGUGUCAAAUAUGGAACCUAAAAAAACCUGCCUUUGCCACUGACUGUAUAAAGGUUUUUUAAGGUCUGUUUGUCAAGCGUCAAGUCAGGUUACCUUGCUACUGGUACCAUGUAGUACAUCCUGCUUAAGCAGGUUGUACGCCAUCCAUACGACGUUUGGGCAUCUGUUUGUAAAAUAUUGCUGCAAAUCUUUUUGAGAGAGCCAUUACUAUGGAGAACCAUCUAAACCAUACAAGUGUGGAAACAUGGAUGUAAAUCUAUAUUAAUGUGAAAUAAACUGAUGAGUUUAUUUAACUUAGCUGGUAAAAAAAAGAGUUUUCGUGAAACAAAUUUAAUGAAGACAGUUAUAGAAUAAAGUUCAUUCAUUUGCUGGCAACAUUUUUAAACGUGGUCCAGAUCGAAAAAAUUUGGUGCCAGAAAUAGUCGAUAGUGGAAGUGAUAGAUGCAUCGAACCUAAUUUGUAAUUAAUUUCUGUAAAUAAAUUUCACUUUA
Hydra vulgaris (swiftwater hydra) is the source of this 576-nucleotide long non-coding RNA. RefSeq lists it as uncharacterized. The record is from RefSeq and is a predicted model, not a curated record. Lineage: Eukaryota; Metazoa; Cnidaria; Hydrozoa; Anthoathecata; Hydridae.